Molecule: ribosomal RNA, 253 nt
Filed under: uncultured bacterium
Lineage: Bacteria
Description: partial 16S ribosomal RNA
Rfam family: Bacterial small subunit ribosomal RNA
Source: RNAcentral
UACGGGGGGAGCAAGCGUUGUUCGGAUUCAUUGGGCGUAAAGGGUGCGUAGGUGGCGCGGUAAGUCGGGUGUGAAAUUUCGGAGCUUAACUCCGAAACUGCAUUCGAUACUGCCGUGCUUGAGGACUGGAGAGGAGACUGGAAUUUACGGUGUAGCAGUGAAAUGCGUAGAGAUCGUAAGGAAGACCAGUGGCGAAGGCGGGUCUCUGGACAGUUCCUGACACUGAGGCACGAAGGCCAGGGGAGCAAACGGG